RNAcentral lists this long non-coding RNA (465 nucleotides) under Stylophora pistillata. RNAcentral describes it as "uncharacterized LOC111336570, transcript variant X2". Lineage: Eukaryota; Metazoa; Cnidaria; Anthozoa; Scleractinia; Pocilloporidae. The record is from RNAcentral.
CCGAUUUGAACGGUACUGUAACAAAGCUCAACAAAGCUUUUCAAAGUAACUUAAGGGAGUCGCACCAGAAUGAGACCCAGAACUCAGCCUACGAGGAAUGUAAAUCUAAAUGUUGCUGUGCAGCAAAUUCUUCCGAAGACGUAAAAACACCCCCAGCCGUUGAAAGUUGUAAAGAGCUGUACAACACAAAUGGAUCUGAAGCCAACAAAGCCUACCCUUUGAGGCUAGGGAAAAAGAUCCUUCCAGUUUACUGUCACAUGACAGCUCUUGAUGGAUGUGGGGGUGGUGGCUGGACUCUGGUAAUGAAGAUGGAUGGUUCCAAGGUAAACAUAAAACGAUGUUGAUAAAAAUGCUCAAACAGAUAGUUCUGUCUCUUCUUUUAAUCAAUAAAAUGGUUUAUUAAGAAAAUUGUUCAGAUGCGUUCAUUGGAAUUCAAAUAAACCGAAAUCCAUCGUCACUAAAAAG